UGGUCAAAGGCGAACUGAUCAUAGAUCAGCUUGUUGAGUUCUUUAUGGUGAAAUCUGCCUACCCAAUUUCAAGUCUUUGACUUUACGCUCAUAUGUUUUUGAAUUUAUUCUAAGAUUUAAUGACGAUAUGCUUUUAGUGGUAGGCGACGUGCUCAUCGACAACGAGGUGCCGGUGGUGACUUUGUCAAUCUUAAGAUUUGUCGGUCUAACUUGGUUCUUCGAAAGUACUUAUAGGGAUAGAUGUGUAUGCGUGCGUGUGUUUAUAGGAAUAAGUCUGUGUCCUAUCUGAAUCUCGAAAAAAAUAGUAAUGAUAACAAAGAGAAAAAGAAAAAAAGAUGAGGCGAUCCUCGCACGACGUGGCCGUAACCUUGUGGGCG
Molecule: long non-coding RNA, 377 nt
Filed under: Sorghum bicolor (sorghum)
Lineage: Eukaryota; Viridiplantae; Streptophyta; Magnoliopsida; Poales; Poaceae
Description: long non-coding RNA (SBIC_LNC001829)
Source: RNAcentral